This 578-nucleotide ribosomal RNA is filed under the name uncultured bacterium. RNAcentral describes it as "bacterial SSU rRNA". It matches the Rfam family "Bacterial small subunit ribosomal RNA", at positions 187 to 782 of the family's 1533-position model. The record is from RNAcentral.
GGCAUCGACCAGAGGGAAAAGGAGCAAUCCGCUUUGAGAUGGCCUCGCGUCCGAUUAGCUAGUUGGUGAGGUAACGGCCCACCAAGGCGACGAUCGGUAGCCGGACUGAGAGGUUGAACGGCCACAUUGGGACUGAGACACGGCCCAGACUCCUACGGGAGGCAGCAGUGGGGAAUAUUGCACAAUGGGGGAAACCCUGAUGCAGCGACGCCGCGUGGAGGAAGAAGGUCUUCGGAUUGUAAACUCCUGUUGUUGAGGAAGAUAAUGACGGUACUCAACAAGGAAGUGACGGCUAACUACGUGCCAGCAGCCGCGGUAAAACGUAGGUCACAAGCGUCGUCCGGAAUUACUGGGUGUAAAGGGAGCGCAGGCGGGAAGACAAGUUGGAAGUGAAAUCUAUGGGCUCAACCCAUAAACUGCUUUCAAAACUGUUUUUCUUGAGUAGUGCAGAGGUAGGCGGAAUUCCCGGUGUAGCGGUGGAAUGCGUAGAUAUCGGGAGGAACACCAGUGGCGAAGGCGGCCUACUGGGCACCAACUGACGCUGAGGCUCGAAAGUGUGGGUAGCAAACAGGAUUAGA